Long non-coding RNA from Erpetoichthys calabaricus (reedfish), 299 nucleotides. RefSeq lists it as uncharacterized. The transcript is spliced from 2 exons. Lineage: Eukaryota; Metazoa; Chordata; Cladistia; Polypteriformes; Polypteridae. The record is from RefSeq and is a predicted model, not a curated record.
GGAGAAUAGGAGGGGACUGCAUAAAGAACUAAUGAGAAUAGACGAACAGCAUGGGAAAGCAGUUUCCACCCAGCAAAACUGAAAAUGCCCAAAUAAAAGAGAAUCUCAGAAGAACCUGCUGACUGGAAAAUCCCAAAAAUCACAGCUUGUAAGCAAUACCCUGAAAAGAAGCAAGACUGAUACAGUAACAGCCCCAACAAAUGGUUAAAGCACUGAACGCUCCAGGACCGGAAUCAGGUCUCUAGGGUAGGAGUCGUCUGUCGCAGACCCCAUGAGCUGCCAUCAUUUCAGCAUCAGGU